This 248-nucleotide long non-coding RNA is filed under the name Helianthus annuus (common sunflower). RNAcentral describes it as "hypothetical non coding rna". Lineage: Eukaryota; Viridiplantae; Streptophyta; Magnoliopsida; Asterales; Asteraceae. The record is from RNAcentral.
GUAUGGUGAUGGACCAUCUUUGGAGGAUGAUCCGCCACGUAGGCGACACGUCAUAGUCCUCCCAAGGAUGGAUCAUCCUCCAAAACUAGGGGGCAUGGGAGGAUGUGGACGACUCAUGCGGAAACGACGUCGAAAAAUCUCGGCUGGGUACACGGGUUCGUCGGCAAAAUAAUCGGCUACUAGUUUAUCGUGGCCGGCUAUAAAUUUAGAACAAAACAUAAAUGAAAUUAAUUAUAAAAUACAUUUUA